This is a long non-coding RNA of Hemiscyllium ocellatum (epaulette shark), 273 nucleotides long. RefSeq lists it as uncharacterized. The transcript is spliced from 3 exons. The record is from RefSeq and is a predicted model, not a curated record. NCBI's taxonomy places the organism in Eukaryota, Metazoa, Chordata, Chondrichthyes, Orectolobiformes, Hemiscylliidae.
AGAUGUUUGAGCCAGCUACGGAGUGUAUCUGAAUGGCUGCAUCUUAAUUCCUACACUAUACCAGAAUGGUUCGUAGUGCUAAUUUGAAGAAACAAGAUGGCAGAAUCAAAUAACCUCUGGGCAAAGAAGCAAGAUGAAAACAUACUGCAAACAAGAGCAUAGGAGGCGUACCCAAGAAGUUUGCACAUCUGAAGAUAUGUUUAAUUCAUGUUUUCUCCUUUUGAGUGAGCCGUAUAAAGUACGUUUAAUGAGCAUCUACUAAAAUAUGUACUA